This 439-nucleotide ribosomal RNA is filed under the name uncultured soil bacterium. Its description in RNAcentral is "bacterial SSU rRNA". It matches the Rfam family "Bacterial small subunit ribosomal RNA", at positions 26 to 462 of the family's 1533-position model. The record is from RNAcentral.
AGAUUGAACGCUGGCGGCAUGCCUAACACAUGCAAGUCGAACGGCAGCGCGGGGGCAACCCUGGCGGCGAGUGGCGGACGGGUGAGGAAUGCAUCGGAAUCUGCCCAGUUGUGGGGGAUAACGUAGGGAAACUUACGCUAAUACCGCAUACGACCUACGGGUGAAAGUGGGGGACCGCAAGGCCUCACGCGAUUGGAGGAGCCGAUGUCGGAUUAGCUAGUUGGCGGGUAAAGCCCACAAGGCGACGAUCCGUAGCUGGUCUGAGAGGAUGAUCAGCCACACUGGAACUGAGACACGGUCCAGACUCCUACGGGAGCAGCAGUGGGGAAUAUUGGACAAGUGGGCGCAAGCCUGAUCCAGCAAUCGCCGCGUGGGUGAAGGAACGGUCCGUUCGGGUUACGUAAACGUCCCGUUUUAGGUAACCGGGAAAGAAAAACGG